GGCGUGUGUGAAAGGGUAUGGAGAGAUUGUUACUUGGUUUCUUGGUUAGUUAGGACUCUUAUCUAGAUAAGAGAUAAAGCCUAACUAAUCCAACUAAUUCUUAUCCAAUUUUGGCAUGGGAAAAGGAGAAAUUUUGUGAAACAAAAAUAUAAAAAGGGUUGUGAUGAGUGAGGAUUUUUAUCCCUUAUUUUUUUUGUGCGCUACUUCUACCUUGCCACCCCCUUCCUUCUCCAUGCCACCUUUUCUUCCUUCCAUGCCUUGGUUCUUCCUUCUAGAUCAGAUCUAAAGAUAAGCCCUAGAGAGAGAGAAAGAAAAUCAAAAUGAGUUCUUAAUUUUUUUUGGUAAUUAGGAUCAAUCCCAAGGAUCUUAUAUAGGGCUGCUUCAAAUAAUAUAAGAAAAAGGAUCCUGAUCCAAGCUGAAGAACAAAUCCUACAAGAGAGCCAACCCCUCGAGUAUUUCAAAGUUCUAAUUGGGACAUCUCUAUGUAGAUAUCAGCAGAGGUUGGAUACUUGCCCAGCUUCGACAGUAACCCUAGACAUCCGUAGGAUCUGAUCCGAGGAAGGAGAAGG
Molecule: long non-coding RNA, 569 nt
Filed under: Elaeis guineensis (African oil palm)
Lineage: Eukaryota; Viridiplantae; Streptophyta; Magnoliopsida; Arecales; Arecaceae
Description: long non-coding RNA (EGUI_LNC063801)
Source: RNAcentral